Molecule: ribosomal RNA, 434 nt
Filed under: uncultured Ruminococcus sp.
Lineage: Bacteria; Bacillati; Bacillota; Clostridia; Eubacteriales; Oscillospiraceae
Description: partial 16S ribosomal RNA
Rfam family: Bacterial small subunit ribosomal RNA
Source: RNAcentral
ACGGAAGGCAGCAGUGGGGAAUAUUGCACAAUGGUCGCAAGCCUGAUGCAGCGAUGCCGCGUGAGGGAAGAAGGUUUUCGGAUUGUAAACCUCUGUCAUCGGGGACGAUAAUGACUGUACCCGAGAUGGAAGCUCCGGCUAACUACGUGCCAGCAGCCGCGGUAAUACGUAGGGAGCGAGCGUUAUCCGGAAUUACUGGGUGUGAAGGGAGUGUAGGCGGGACUGUAAGUCAGAUGUGAAAUAUACCGGCUCAACUGGUAGACUGCAUUUGAAACUGCGGUUCUUGAGUGAAGUAGAGGUAUGCGGAAUUCCUAGUGUAGCGGUGAAAUGCGUAGAUAUUAGGAGGAACAUCAGUGGCGAAGGCGGCUUACUGGGCUUUAACUGACGCUGAGGCUCGAAAGCGUGGGGAGCAAACAGGAUUAGAUACCCUGGUA